RNAcentral lists this ribosomal RNA (1044 nucleotides) under Triticum aestivum (bread wheat). RNAcentral describes it as "partial small subunit ribosomal RNA". The record is from RNAcentral. Lineage: Eukaryota; Viridiplantae; Streptophyta; Magnoliopsida; Poales; Poaceae.
AUGGCGAAGGCGCCUGGUGCCCCGCUCGGGCCCGUCCCUUUCGCGGACGUCGAAGCCGACUCGGGCUUGGUCUCCGGCGUGCCGGAGCAGCUCCCGGAGGAGCACGCCGACCCCGACGACCUUGUUUCCGCCCUGCCAAGCGCGCCGAGGCCCAAGGGCCUGUCGAGCCUCCGUCUCUACGACGGCUUCUGGCUGCCGGAGUGGUCCGUCCCGGUGGCCGUCGCCCUACAGCGCCGCUUCGAGCCCCGCCCGGACGACGUCGUCGUCGCCAGCUUCCCCAAGUGCGGCACCACGUGGGUCAACGCCCUCACGUUCGCCACCAUGGCACGGCGCGCCCACCCCGCCGCCGGCGCCGGGCACCCGCUGCUACGCCUCAACCCGCACCAGUGCGUCCCUUUCCUGGAGGCCCUCUUCGGCAGCCGCCGCGGGGAGGCCAGGCUCGCGGCGCUGCCGUCCCCGCGCCUCAUGAACACGCACAUGCCGCUGGCCAUGAUGCCCGGCGGGGGCGGGUGCAAGGUCGUGUACGUCUGCAGGGAGCCCAAGGACAUGGUCGUCUCGCUGUGGCACUUCCACCGGCGGCUGCAUCCGGAGCUGCCGCUAGCCGACGUCUUCGAGGCCGUGUGCGGCGGCGCGGUGGGGUACGGGCCGGUGUGGGACCACAUCGCCGGCUACUGGAGCGCCAGCGCGGCCAGGCCGGACGGCGUGCUCUUCCUGCGGUACGAGGAGCUGCUGCGCGACCCCGCCGGGCACGUCCGGGAGCUGGCGCGGUUCGUGGGGCUGCCUUUCUCCGGCGCGGAGGAGGAUGCCGGCGUCGUUCACGACAUCGUCAACCUCUGCAGCUUCGGGCACCUCAAGACCCUGGAAGCCAACAAGACGGGCCACAUGAAUGCCGGACUCCCGAUCCCGCGUGACGCGCUGUUCAGGAAGGGCGUGGCCGGCGACUGGGUGAACCACAUGACGCCGGAGAUGGCGCGACGCCUAGACGACAUCGUCGCCGACAAGCUCCAUGCGGCAGGCCUCACCUUCCUCCACGCCAGGGAGUGA